This 465-nucleotide ribosomal RNA is filed under the name Vreelandella stevensii. Its description in RNAcentral is "partial 16S ribosomal RNA". It matches the Rfam family "Bacterial small subunit ribosomal RNA", at positions 338 to 795 of the family's 1533-position model. Lineage: Bacteria; Pseudomonadati; Pseudomonadota; Gammaproteobacteria; Oceanospirillales; Halomonadaceae. The record is from RNAcentral.
CCUACGGGGGGCUGCAGUGGGGAAUAUUGGACAAUGGGCGAAAGCCUGAUCCAGCCAUGCCGCGUGUGUGAAGAAGGCCUUCGGGUUGUAAAGCACUUUCAGUGGGGAAGAAAGCCUUGGGGCUAAUACCCUCGAGGAAGGACAUCACCCACAGAAGAAGCACCGGCUAACUCCGUGCCAGCAGCCGCGGUAAUACGGAGGGUGCGAGCGUUAAUCGGAAUUACUGGCGUAAAGCGCGCGUAGGCGGUCUGAUAAGCCGGUUGUGAAAAGCCCCGGGCUCAACCUGGGAACGGCAUCCGGAACUGUCAGGCUAGAGUGCAGGAGAGGAAGGUAGAAUUCCCGGUGUAGCGGUGAAAUGCGUAGAGAUCGGGAGGAAUACCAGUGGCGAAGGCGGCCUUCUGGACUGACACUGACGCUGAGGUGCGAAAGCGUGGGUAGCAAACAGGAUUAGAUACCCGAGUAGUC